UGACUUUCCGAGAGAAGAAAGAAGAAAGAAAGGUUGAUCGGUGGUAUCUUCCAAUGGUUGCUUCGAGGGAGAGGUCAAUCCUUUAAAUAGAGGGUUGAUCGAAAGAGGCAGAAGUCGAAAAAACUUCGAUUUCUGUCUGAAAUUGGAGUCACCAUCAAAGAGGGAAAGAAGACUCCUUAAGGAGUUUGAUUCUUGAUUAGGGUCUUCAGUAUGCGCAAAGCAUGUGCUGGCCUAAGUUUUCUCCCCCUCUCUUUUUUUUUUCUCUUGCUAGCCUA
Molecule: long non-coding RNA, 275 nt
Filed under: Elaeis guineensis (African oil palm)
Lineage: Eukaryota; Viridiplantae; Streptophyta; Magnoliopsida; Arecales; Arecaceae
Description: long non-coding RNA (EGUI_LNC030223)
Source: RNAcentral